AGAUGUGAACGCUACUUAGCUGCAACAUUUGUUACCCUGUUGAUUGCCAGGGUUGACUCGGUUGAUCGUGCUGACUACGAGAGCAUCUCCUAUCUUCCUCUCUGUUCCAUGUAUAUCCCUCCUGAAACUACCAGACUUCUAUUUAAUAAAGAGGACAAGAUUCCUAGAAUAGAGAUAGAUCAGUCUUCAGUCAAGGAAAUCUGAGUAGCUAUGGUCUCCUACUAGAAUCCCCCUCCCCCCAAAAAAAAAUCACUCAAAAAUGAAAAAUCCUGAAAUUAAGAAACUCAGUUUUUGAGGCUAAUAGACU
RNAcentral lists this small nuclear RNA (307 nucleotides) under Erinaceus europaeus (western European hedgehog). RNAcentral describes it as "7SK RNA". It matches the Rfam family "7SK RNA". Rfam says of the family: 7SK was discovered as an abundant small nuclear RNA in the mid-70s but a possible function has only recently been suggested. Two independent studies have found that 7SK RNA binds the CDK9/cyclin T complex (known as elongation factor P-TEFb). The record is from Rfam by way of RNAcentral. Lineage: Eukaryota; Metazoa; Chordata; Mammalia; Eulipotyphla; Erinaceidae.